AUGGGGUGGCAAAAGGCAGCGGUGGCGAGGGGCGGGGCUCGAUCAGGCGCCCGGUCGUCUCGCCGCUGGGCAGACCCGCGUGGCCCUGCCAGCCGAAGCAGCCAGAGAGAGGAGCGGCGGCCGCGGGCGCGAGGAAGCGGCCUGGGACGUGAGCAGCAGCACGCACUCCUGGUCCAGGCGAUCGACACCCAGGAUCACACAGAGCUCGAGGAGGACGACCUCAACCGGAUCACGGCGGGAGGCUCCGGCGACGCGCGGAAGGGAUCUUGGCAGGAGGGGAACGCGCGGAGGAGAUCGUGGCUGGAGGGGGACGCGCGGAGGUGCUCGUGGAAUGAGGGGAAUGCGCCAGCGCGGUUCCUCAGCGGCGGCGGAGCAGUUCCUGGACGGCGCACGUCCUGGCCGGCGUAG
Molecule: ribosomal RNA, 408 nt
Filed under: Triticum aestivum (bread wheat)
Lineage: Eukaryota; Viridiplantae; Streptophyta; Magnoliopsida; Poales; Poaceae
Description: partial small subunit ribosomal RNA
Source: RNAcentral